AGGGUUCGAUUCUGGCUCAGAUUGAACGCUGGCGGCAGGCCUAACACAUGCAAGUCGAGCGGUAGAGAGGUGCUUGCACCUCUUGAGAGCGGCGGACGGGUGAGUAAUACCUAGGAAUCUGCCUGAUAGUGGGGGAUAACGUUCGGAAACGGACGCUAAUACCGCAUACGUCCUACGGGAGAAAGCAGGGGACCUUCGGGCCUUGCGCUAUCAGAUGAGCCUAGGUCGGAUUAGCUAGUUGGUGAGGUAAUGGCUCACCAAGGCUACGAUCCGUAACUGGUCUGAGAGGAUGAUCAGUCACACUGGAACUGAGACACGGUCCAG
Molecule: ribosomal RNA, 324 nt
Filed under: uncultured bacterium
Lineage: Bacteria
Description: bacterial SSU rRNA
Rfam family: Bacterial small subunit ribosomal RNA
Source: RNAcentral